RNAcentral lists this non-coding RNA (718 nucleotides) under Metrobates hesperius. The record is from RNAcentral. Lineage: Eukaryota; Metazoa; Arthropoda; Insecta; Hemiptera; Gerridae.
UUUUUUUUUAAUUUAUUAUAUGUUAAGUUUUCUUUUUAAUCUAAAUGAUUUUUUUUUCAAUAUUUAAUUUUAGUUUUUAAUUUACGUUAAAACUAGGAUUUAAAUUAAAGACUGAUUAAAGUUGUGCCAGCAUUCGCGGUUAUACAAUUAGUUUUUGAAAAUAUUUUAGAUUAUGUAUUAAUUAUUUUAUUUAUAUAUAAAAUUUUGGAAAUUGGGUGAAAUUUUUUUUAAUUAUUUUUAUAGGUUAGAGAUAAUAUAUUAAAAUUAUUAUUAAACUAGGAUUAGAUACCCUAUUAUUAUAAUUGUAAAUUUUUUUAUUAUUAAUAGUUAUGUUCUUUAAAUUAAAAGAAUUUGGCGGUUAUUUAAUCUUUCUAGAGGAACUUGUCCUGUAAUUGAUAAUCCACGAUUGUUUUAACUUUGAUUUUAUUUAUAUAUCGUUGUCAUUGAAUGUUUUAUCAGAUUAUCUUCUUUAAUUUUUAUGAAUUUAAUGUCAGAUCAAGAUGUAAUUAUAUCAAAGUAGAGAUGAGUUACAUUUAAAUAUAUUAAUGAAUUAAUUAUAAUUUUUAUUAUUAUGAAAUUGGAUUUAGGUGUAAUUUUUAAUAAAUUUUAAUUUUGAUUUUAGUUCUAAAUAAUGUACAUAUCGCCCGUCACUCCCAUUAUAGAGUUGGGAUAAGUCGUAACAAAGUAGGUCUACCGGAAGGUGGGCCUGGAUAUUAUC